GAGUUUGAUCGUGGCUCAGGACGAACGCUGGCGGCGUGCCUAAUACAUGCAAGUCGAGCGAAUGAUGAAGAAGCUUGCUUCUUCUGAUUUAGCGGCGGACGGGUGAGUAACACGUGGGCAACCUGCCCUGUAGAUUGGGAUAACUCCGGGAAACCGGGGCUAAUACCGAAUAAUCCAUUUCCUCACAUGUGGAGAUGUUAAAAGACGGUUUCGGCUGUCACUACAGGAUGGGCCCGCGGCGCAUUAGCUAGUUGGUGAGGUAACGGCUCACCAAGGCGACGAUGCGUAGCCGACCUGAGAGGGUGAUCGGCCACACUGGGACUGAGACACGGCCCAGACUCCUACGGGAGGCAGCAGUAGGGAAUCUUCCACAAUGGACGAAAGUCUGAUGGAGCAACGCCGCGUGAGUGAAGAAGGUUUUCGGAUCGUAAAACUCUGUUGUGAGGGAGAACAAGUACGAGAGUAACUGCUCGUACCUUGACGGUACCUCAUUAGAAAGCCACGGCUAACUACGUGCCA
Molecule: ribosomal RNA, 519 nt
Filed under: uncultured Bacillus sp.
Lineage: Bacteria; Bacillati; Bacillota; Bacilli; Caryophanales; Bacillaceae
Description: bacterial SSU rRNA
Rfam family: Bacterial small subunit ribosomal RNA
Source: RNAcentral